Molecule: ribosomal RNA, 930 nt
Filed under: uncultured bacterium
Lineage: Bacteria
Description: bacterial SSU rRNA
Rfam family: Bacterial small subunit ribosomal RNA
Source: RNAcentral
GAGUUUGAUCUGGCUCAGAACGAACGCUGGCGGCGUGCUUAACACAUGCAAGUCGAACGCGAACGAGUUCUUCGGAACUUUAGUAGAGUGGCGCACGGGUGAGUAACGCGUAAGUAAUCUACCCUCGCAUCUGGGAUAACCCACCGAAAGGUGUGCUAAUACCGGAUACGUCUAAGUUAAUAUCUUUUUUUAGAGAAAGGUGGCCUCUGAUUCAAGCUACUGUGCGGGGAGGAGCUUGCGUACCAUUAGCUAGUUGGUAGGGUAACGGCCUACCAAGGCGACGAUGGUUAGCGGGUCUGAGAGGAUGAUCCGCCACACUGGAACUGAAACACGGACCAGACUCCUACGGGAGGCAGCAGUGAGGAAUAUUGCGCAAUGGGGGCAACCCUGACGCAGCGACGCCGCGUGGAUGAUGAAGGCCUUCGGGUUGUAAAAUCCUGUCAGAUGGGAAGAAGUGCUAUAUGGUUAAUAUCUGUAUAGUUUGACGGUACCAUCAAAGGAAGCACCGGCUAACUCCGUGCCAGCAGCCGCGGUAAUACGGAGGGUGCAAGCGUUGUUCGGAAUUACUGGGCGUAAAGCGCGCGUAGGCGGCUAUGUAAGUCAGAUGUGAAAGCCCGCGGCUCAGCCGUGGAAGUGCAUUUGAAACUGUAUAGCUUGAGUACUGGAGGGGGUAGUGGAAUUCCCGGUGUAGAGGUGAAAUUCGUAGAUAUCGGGAGGAAUACCGGUGGCGAAGGCGACUACCUGGCCAGAUACUGACGCUGAGGUGCGAAAGCGUGGGGAGCAAACAGGAUUAGAUACCCUGGUAGUCCACGCCGUAAACGAUGUCAACUAGGUGUUGGAGUGGUUAAUCGCUUCAUUGCCGGAGCUAACGCAUUAAGUUGACCGCCUGGGGAGUACGGUCGCAAGAUUAAAACUCAAAGGAAUUGACGG